AAAUUCUUGAACUAUUUCCUUAUGGUAUCCUAACCAUAUAUUUUCUCAAACUUAUUACUUGGAAUGCGGGUUUUGAAAUGCAGGGACAUACCAAGCCUAUCCUUUCUGUGUGCUGGGAUCCAUCUGAUGAGUUCCUUGCAUCAGUCAAAUUAUACAUGGUCAUCCUAUAAGGUUAGAGCAUACUUACAGCAUCAAUGGAAGCAGAUUCUAUCUGGAAGGGUGUCUCUUCAGGAUUUUGUAUCUGCAAAGGAGGUUCGCCUAGGCACCUACCGUAACUAGCUCUGUUCUUGUUUUGGCAGGAUAAACAAACAAUGUUAUUGUUAAUGGGAAAUAGCAGCAGCCCAUCAUUAGCGAAGAUUCAAAGGAAGCUAUGAAGCAUGCAUUCGAACUCUUUAAUGUUCGAUUGGAAGUAGACUUUGGGACUAGUGAUAUAGGACAUAGCUUAGGAUUGUAAUGAAUAUUUGUAAUUUAUUACAUUUGUCUUUUGUUAAUGAUGAUAUAUACUAUUCUUCGAACAACAAUUUUUCAA
Molecule: RNA transcript, 529 nt
Organism: Prunus dulcis (almond)
Lineage: Eukaryota; Viridiplantae; Streptophyta; Magnoliopsida; Rosales; Rosaceae
Gene name: DNA polymerase zeta catalytic subunit-like
Exons: 3
Source: RefSeq, a predicted model, not a curated record